RNAcentral lists this ribosomal RNA (521 nucleotides) under uncultured bacterium. Its description in RNAcentral is "bacterial SSU rRNA". It matches the Rfam family "Archaeal small subunit ribosomal RNA", at positions 345 to 866 of the family's 1478-position model. The record is from RNAcentral.
AACCUCCGCAAUGUGAGAAAUCGCGACGGGGGGAUCCCAAGUGCCAUUCUUAACGGGAUGGCUUUUCUUAAGUGUAAAAAGCUUUUGGAAUAAGAGCUGGGCAAGACCGGUGCCAGCCGCCGCGGUAACACCGGCAGCUCUAGUGGUAGCAGUUUUUAUUGGGCCUAAAGCGUCCGUAGCCGGUUUAAUAAGUCUCUGGUGAAAUCCUGUAGCUUAACUGUGGGAAUUGCUGGAGAUACUAUUAGACUUGAGACCGGGAGAGGUUAGAGGUACUCCCAGGGUAGAGGUGAAAUUCUGUAAUCCUGGGAGGACCGCCUGUUGCGAAGGCGUCUAACUGGAACGGUUCUGACGGUGAGGGACGAAAGUUAGGGGCGCGAACCGGAUUAGAUACCCGGGUAGUCCUAACCGUAAACGAUGCGGACUUGGUGUUGGGGUGGCUUUGAGCUGCUCCAGUGCCGAAGGGAAGCUGUUAAGUCCGCCGCCUGGGAAGUACGGUCGCAAGACUGAAACUUAAAGGAAGU